UACGGAGGGAGCUAGCGUUGUUCGGAAUUACUGGGCGUAAAGCGCGCGUAGGCGGCUUUGUAAGUUAGAGGUGAAAGCCCGGGGCUCAACCCCGGAACUGCCUUUAAGACUGCAUCGCUUGAAUCCAGGAGAGGUGAGUGGAAUUCCGAGUGUAGAGGUGAAAUUCGUAGAUAUUCGCAAGAACACCAGUGGCGAAGGCGGCUUACUGGUCCGGUUCUGACGCUGAGGCGCGAAAGCGUGGGGAGCAAACAGG
This 253-nucleotide ribosomal RNA is filed under the name uncultured bacterium. RNAcentral describes it as "partial 16S ribosomal RNA". It matches the Rfam family "Bacterial small subunit ribosomal RNA", at positions 524 to 776 of the family's 1533-position model. The record is from RNAcentral.